GAUGAACGCUGGCGGCGUGCUUAACACAUGCAAGUCGAACGGAAAGGCCAGUGCUUGCACUGGUACUCGAGUGGCGAACGGGUGAGUAACACGUGGGUGAUCUGCCCUGUACUUCGGGAUAAGCUUGGGAAACUGGGUCUAAUACCGGAUAGGACAACUUUUUGGAUAUUGUUGUGGAAAGCUUUUGCGGUGUGGGAUCAGCUCGCGGCCUAUCAGCUUGUUGGUGGUGUAGUGGCGUACCAAGGCGUCGACGGGUAGCCGGCCUGAGAGUGUGUACGGCCGGACUAGACUUGUGCGAGAGCCCACAGUGGUGAGUAAGGGAGCAGUGGGGAAUAUUGGACAAUGGGAGCAAGCGUGAUGGAGCGAGGCCGCGUGGUGGUUGAAGGCCUUUGGGUUGUAAGCUCCUCUCGCGAGGGACGAAGCUUUUUUGUGACGGUACCUGGAGAAGAAGCACCGGCUAACUACGUG
RNAcentral lists this ribosomal RNA (468 nucleotides) under uncultured bacterium. RNAcentral describes it as "partial 16S ribosomal RNA". It matches the Rfam family "Bacterial small subunit ribosomal RNA", at positions 28 to 507 of the family's 1533-position model. The record is from RNAcentral.